Molecule: long non-coding RNA, 434 nt
Filed under: Callithrix jacchus (white-tufted-ear marmoset)
Lineage: Eukaryota; Metazoa; Chordata; Mammalia; Primates; Cebidae
Description: lncRNA (ENSCJAG00000077853.1)
Source: RNAcentral
AAAAUAGCUAAGAUUCCAUUUCUGAUAUUAGUAAAGCUAUACCAGAUUAUUAUUUAUUAUUUUUUUUUUUGAGACACAGUCUCACUCUGUCACUCAAGCUGGAAGGCAGUGGCGUGAUGACAGCUCACUGCAGCUUCAACCUCCUGGGCUCAUGCAUUCCUCCUGCCUCAGCUUCCCAAGUAGCUGGAAGCACAGACAUGCACCACUAUGCCCAGCUAAUUUUUUUUUUUUUUUUUUUUGUAGAGACAAUGUCCCACUAUGUUUCCCAGGCUGGUCUCAAACUUCUGGGCUCAAGUGAUCCAUCUGGGCCUCCCAAAGUGCUGGAAUUACAGCUCCUGGAAGGCAAGGCCUGGAUCCUAUUUAAAUUGAUGUCUCCAUGGACAGCAUCAAGAAGAUAUUCAGUAAAAUCUGUUGAGUUGAAUUGUCUACAGUAA